GAUGAACGCUGGCGGCGUGCCUAAUACAUGCAAGUCGAGCGAACGGACGAGAAACUUGCUUCUCUGAUGUUAGCGGCGGACGGGUGAGUAACACGUGGAUAACCUACCUAUAAGACUGGGAUAACUUCGGGAAACCGGAGCUAAUACCGGAUAAUAUUUUGAACCGCAUGGUUCAAAAGUGAAAGACGGUCUUGCUGUCACUUAUAGAUGGAUCCGCGCUGCAUUAGCUAGUAGGUAAGGUAACGGCUUACCAAGGCAACGAUGCAUAGCCGACCUGAGAGGGUGAUCGGCCACACUGGAACUGAGACACGGUCCAGACUCCUACGGGAGGCAGCAGUAGGGAAUCUUCCGCAAAGGGCGAAAGCCUGACGGAGCAACGCCGCGUGAGUGAUGAAGGUCUUCGGAUCGUAAAACUCUGUUAUUAGGGAAGAACAUAUGUGUAAGUAACUGUGCACAUCUUGACGGUACCUAAUCAGAAAGCCACGGCUAACUACGUG
RNAcentral lists this ribosomal RNA (497 nucleotides) under uncultured bacterium. RNAcentral's name for it is "partial 16S ribosomal RNA". It matches the Rfam family "Bacterial small subunit ribosomal RNA", at positions 28 to 507 of the family's 1533-position model. The record is from RNAcentral.